UCUUCUGCACAUCAUGUUUUGCACAGCAUUUUCUGCACUGCAUUUUCCCGACGGUGCUUUGCACAAUUUUAUUUUUUCCUUUUUUUUUUUUUUUUUUGGUGGUGUUUUGCACAGCUUUUUUGGUGCCACAUCCUUUGGGUGGCAUUUUUCCACGUGGUGUUCCAUCUGACAUUCCCCACUGCCAGAGCCCCCAGGCCACUCUCACAGCCUGUCCAUCCCCCAGGACCGGCGGCCAGAGGCAGAGGGCAGAGCCUGGCGCCCAGGGAACCCCUACUGCUCGCCGGUGCUGGUGCGCAAGAAAGCCAUUCGGAGCAAAGUGCUGCGCUCGGGAGCCUACCGGGACUGCGGGGGCGAGGGACAGCUCCACCAGCAGCCCCGCGACGCCGCGGCGGCGGGAGGGGAAAGCAAAGGGGCGAGGAGCUUGGCCUUCCUGCCCGAGAACGAGAGCGUCCUCGCCGAGAGCGUGUGGGCCUUCGCCGGCAUCGCCAGGGCCGCCGGGGUCGCGCUGCUGCGGCGGGACGUGCCCGGCUCCUUCCUGCUGCG
RNAcentral lists this long non-coding RNA (543 nucleotides) under Serinus canaria (Common canary). Its description in RNAcentral is "lncRNA (ENSSCAG00000004575.1)". The record is from RNAcentral. Lineage: Eukaryota; Metazoa; Chordata; Aves; Passeriformes; Fringillidae.